CACCACUUAUCGCUUCUACCGAUUGAAUGAUUUGGUGAAGUGUUCGGAUUGCAACGACAUGGGCCGUUCGUUGCCUGGGAAGUUAUAAGAAGUCCACUAAACCUUAUCAUUUAGACUUUAAAAUGAUAUGAUUUUUAACAACUCAACAAGCUUCAUGUAAAACAUUAUAGAAAAUUUUCAACUCAAUGCAAAAAUUACCACAUUGUAUAAAUUUUUCAACUCAAUGCAAAAGCUAUCACAUUGUAUAAAUACUUUCAUGAUGGAGAAUUAGGGUUCAAUUCCAAAGAGAAAGCUUGAGAAACGACUACCACAUUCAAGGAAGGCAAAAGGCAUGAAAAUUUCCCAAUCUUGAAAUGAGGAGGUAGUGAUAAAAAAUAACAAUACUUGACUUAUUGGAUUUGGUAAUUGGAAUGAGCACAAUCUAAAUCCCUUAAAAAGGAUCCAUUGGAGGGCAAACAGUUGUGGUAAUUCCAGCUCCAAUAGCUUAUAUUUAAGUUGUUGCAGUUAAAAAUCUUGUAGUAUGACCUUUGGUUGGGUCGAUUGGUCAGUCGCAGGUGUGCACCAGUUGACUCAUUCCUUCUGCCAGCGAUAUGCUCCUGGUCUUAA
RNAcentral lists this non-coding RNA (606 nucleotides) under Glycine max (soybean). Its description in RNAcentral is "Microsporidia small subunit ribosomal RNA". It matches the Rfam family "Eukaryotic small subunit ribosomal RNA", at positions 85 to 720 of the family's 1831-position model. RNAcentral also lists the same sequence under 1 other name. The record is from Rfam by way of RNAcentral. Lineage: Eukaryota; Viridiplantae; Streptophyta; Magnoliopsida; Fabales; Fabaceae.